This 478-nucleotide ribosomal RNA is filed under the name Bacillus toyonensis. RNAcentral describes it as "bacterial SSU rRNA". It matches the Rfam family "Bacterial small subunit ribosomal RNA", at positions 114 to 577 of the family's 1533-position model. The record is from RNAcentral. Lineage: Bacteria; Bacillati; Bacillota; Bacilli; Caryophanales; Bacillaceae.
CACGUGGGUAACCUGCCCAUAAGACUGGGAUAACUCCGGGAAACCGGGGCUAAUACCGGAUAACAUUUUGAACUGCAUGGUUCGAAAUUGAAAGGCGGCUUCGGCUGUCACUUAUGGAUGGACCCGCGUCGCAUUAGCUAGUUGGUGAGGUAACGGCUCACCAAGGCAACGAUGCGUAGCCGACCUGAGAGGGUGAUCGGCCACACUGGGACUGAGACACGGCCCAGACUCCUACGGGAGGCAGCAGUAGGGAAUCUUCCGCAAUGGACGAAAGUCUGACGGAGCAACGCCGCGUGAGUGAUGAAGGCUUUCGGGUCGUAAAACUCUGUUGUUAGGGAAGAACAAGUGCUAGUUGAAUAAGCUGGCACCUUGACGGUACCUAACCAGAAAGCCACGGCUAACUACGUGCCAGCAGCCGCGGUAAUACGUAGGUGGCAAGCGUUAUCCGGAAUUAUUGGGCGUAAAGCGCGCGCAGGUG